Long non-coding RNA from Gopherus evgoodei (Goodes thornscrub tortoise), 200 nucleotides. RefSeq lists it as uncharacterized. NCBI's taxonomy places the organism in Eukaryota, Metazoa, Chordata, Testudines, Testudinidae. The transcript is spliced from 3 exons. The record is from RefSeq and is a predicted model, not a curated record.
ACACUCGAUAAACAAGCAGACAUGCACGCAAGCUCUGAAGUGCAUGUGCAUCUGAGCAUCCUGAUGAAUCUCAAACCCACCAUGUACAUAUUUCAAGCUGUUAGCUGAUAAUGCUUUAAAGAUUUGACACACAAAAAUGGGAAGAAAAUGAAAAUCUGUAUCAGAAUACAUUUCAGAACACAAGUAAGUAUUCAAAAGUU